This is a long non-coding RNA of Bufo bufo (common toad), 1057 nucleotides long. RefSeq lists it as uncharacterized. NCBI's taxonomy places the organism in Eukaryota, Metazoa, Chordata, Amphibia, Anura, Bufonidae. The record is from RefSeq and is a predicted model, not a curated record. The transcript has 3 exons.
ACUCAACACGCCCGGGAUGGGUUUUAGCAGCUCAUACUGACAUGGCUACGCAAUUAUACAUAGCUACAUAAGUAAAAACAAACAAGUAAAAUAAGUAAGGAAAUUCAGCAGUAAAUGUGACAGAGGUGACAGUGCCGGAUAAGGUUGUACAUGGUAUACACAAGCAAUGAAGUUUAAAAGGAAAAAGGGGUGGGUGCAGAGGAGGAGGAAGACAGCUGAAAAAGGAAAGGGGUGGCAGAGUUCAUACAACCAGGAUGGGCUGAAAAAGGAUGGAGUGAAGAAGGAAGCAAUGUUGUCCCUAUAAUCUGGAGCAAGCUAACAGGAGUCAACGGACAGGAAAAAUACAAUAUAUUAAGUAUAUAAUAAAAGAGCAAACACAAGAUAAGAAAAUCUAGAGACUGGAGGUAAAAAAACGCAUCAUGGAGCAAGCACAGGAGAGAAAAGCUGAGUGCAAUGAAAUCAAAAUGAGAAAAGUGCAGAGAGCGCACAAAAAGGAAAAGAGCAAGAAAAGCAAAAUGAAGCGAGGGAGACAGCAAAGGGGAGAGGACAGAGCAAAAUGAAGGAAAGGGGUGGGAGUGAGGGGGAAAAGUGCAGACGCCACAGAGUGGAAACGAAAGGAAAGGGAGGAAGGAAAAAAGCUUCAGAGAAAGAAGCCAAGGAGUGUGAACAGCAGAGAUGAGACCGAGGGGAGAGAGCUGGCGAUGCAAGCAGAGAGAAUGAGCGUGAAAAGCCUGCGAGAAAAAAAUAGCUCAGCAAAGGGCACAGCGCAGACGUUCGCUACACAGAGCUAAAAGGCUGACAGUGGACUACAGAUAAACCAAUGUCAGUUUCCAAAAGCAACAAGCAGAAUUUUGGAAGCAGCUACAGAUGUGAAUGGGGAAUAAGGAGUAGAAGAAUGAAAAUAACGGAAGGAGGCACCGAGCCAAUCGCCCAAUGAACGAGCAGAUUCUCAUUGCUGACACCUAAAUCAUUGUUUCUGGGCAGCAGAUCGUACCAUGUAAACUGUGAUCUGCUGCCUAGAAACAAUGAGGGUCAUUGAAACAAUGAGGUACCUGCA